UACGUAGGGGCUAGCGUUAUCCGGAAUUACUGGGCGUAAAGGGUGCGUAGGUGGUUUCUUAAGUCAGAGGUGAAAGGCUACGGACUCAACCGUAGUAAGCCUUUGAAACUGGGAAACUUGAGUGCAGGAGAGGAGAGUGGAAUUCCUAGUGUAGCGGUGAAAUGCGUAGAUAUUAGGAGGAACACCAGUGGCGAAGGCGGCUUUCUGGACAGUAACUGACACUGAGGUACGAAAGUGUGGGGAGCAAACAGGAUUAGAUACCCCGGUAGUCCCUGAGCGGGCUGG
This 285-nucleotide ribosomal RNA is filed under the name uncultured prokaryote. RNAcentral's name for it is "partial 16S ribosomal RNA". It matches the Rfam family "Bacterial small subunit ribosomal RNA", at positions 524 to 812 of the family's 1533-position model. The record is from RNAcentral.